This 73-nucleotide transfer RNA is filed under the name Methanonatronarchaeum sp. AMET6-2. RNAcentral's name for it is "tRNA-Arg". It matches the Rfam family "tRNA". From Rfam's summary of the family: Transfer RNA (tRNA) molecules are approximately 80 nucleotides in length. Their secondary structure includes four short double-helical elements and three loops (D, anti-codon, and T loops). Lineage: Archaea; Methanobacteriati; Methanobacteriota; Methanonatronarchaeia; Methanonatronarchaeales; Methanonatronarchaeaceae. RNAcentral also lists the same sequence under 1 other name. The record is from RNAcentral.
GGGCCCGUAGCCUAGCGGAUAAGGCACCAGCCUUCUAAGCUGGUGAUCGCGGGUUCGAAUCCCGCCGGGUCCG